GCCCUGCAGCUGGACCUGAUAAAACAGGACUGACUGAAGACCACAUGCUGCCCUUAUGUGAUGAUAUGUGGAUCUCAUCAGUGAGCCAACUUACCCUAAAAAGCCUUGGAUGCUGUUGGAACGAGUCCUCUUCUCCAGCUGGAGAUCCUUCACAGACCUAGCUGGCCAUCCCAUACAAACCUUAAUGUAUUUGGGUCCUGGGAGAUGCCUUGGUGUUUGGGUGCUGGAUGGAGAUGCAGCACUGCAGAGGGAUUUUGGUUUGUCUCGUCUUGAACUGGAGCUGGUGAACGGAGUCCUGAAGAUCCCAGGUCAUUUCCUUCCACAGAUAGAGAGAAGAAAACCAGUUGUGGUGUGCACAGUGCAGGAGACUGAAGGGGAUGCCCGCGGCUCUCUGCAGAGAGAGUCUUCCUCUGAAGAAGUCCCCCGGCAGCAAGUGGCUGCAGGGAGAACACAGGUGAGGGAAGGGACCCACAGGCGGGAGGAUCGCCACUCCGUUUCCACUCGCUUCUUGGCUGCCCUGCAUUUUGGAGCAGCUGACUCAAGAGGGCAGCAAGCCGACGGGCUGCCACCGGCUCCAGCGGCCAGCCCUGCCCCACUGGAUCCCACCGACGGCCUCCACGCCCGGGAGGGCUGCGUGUCGGAGGAAUUCGCUGGGAUGACG
This 661-nucleotide long non-coding RNA is filed under the name Pavo cristatus (Indian peafowl). RNAcentral describes it as "lncRNA (ENSPSTG00000018380.1)". Lineage: Eukaryota; Metazoa; Chordata; Aves; Galliformes; Phasianidae. The record is from RNAcentral.